GACGAACGCUGGCGGCGUGCCUAAUACAUGCAAGUAGAACGCUGAAGGAGGAGCUUGCUUCUCUGGAUGAGUUGCGAACGGGUGAGUAACGCGUAGGUAACCUGCCUGGUAGCGGGGGAUAACUAUUGGAAACGAUAGCUAAUACCGCAUAAGAGUAGAUGUCGCAUGACAUUUGCUUAAAAGGUGCAAUUGCAUCACUACCAGAUGGACCUGCGUUGUAUUAGCUAGUUGGUGAGGUAACGGCUCACCAAGGCAACGAUACAUAGCCGACCUGAGAGGGAGAUCGGCCACACUGGGACUGAGACACGGCCCAGACUCCUACGGGAGGCAGCAGUAGGGAAUCUUCGGCAAUGGACGGAAGUCUGACCGAGCAACGCCGCGUGAGUGAAGAAGGUUUUCGGAUCGUAAAGCUCUGUUGUAAGAGAAGAACGAGUGUGAGAGUGGAAAGUUCACACUGUGACGGUAUCUUACCAGAAAGGGACGGCUAACUACGUG
RNAcentral lists this ribosomal RNA (495 nucleotides) under uncultured bacterium. Its description in RNAcentral is "partial 16S ribosomal RNA". It matches the Rfam family "Bacterial small subunit ribosomal RNA", at positions 28 to 507 of the family's 1533-position model. The record is from RNAcentral.